UUAUGAUGACAUGUAUGGAUAGGAGUCAUGUCAAUAGGGACACGAAUAUGGAAGCGCUUCGGGUCGAAGGUAAACACGGAAGCCACAUGUAAAUUGGACGUACGAGGUUGGGAGGACAUAAUAUUAUUAUGAAGGAUAAGAGGAUUGAAGAUCGUGUCAAGAGUAAGGAUUGUACGGGAAGGAUCGGUCGCAUAGUUUGACAAAUAUGGGUCUUGAAGCAUUAAUAUAAUGGAACGUGGUAAAUCCUUUUAAUGAGUGUAUGAAAUUUUGUAUUUGAACUUUCCUGUAAGUAUUAUGUCUAACAAAGAAUGAAAUUUUGGGCUCAUA
Helianthus annuus (common sunflower) is the source of this 327-nucleotide long non-coding RNA. RefSeq lists it as uncharacterized. The record is from RefSeq and is a predicted model, not a curated record. NCBI's taxonomy places the organism in Eukaryota, Viridiplantae, Streptophyta, Magnoliopsida, Asterales, Asteraceae. The transcript has 2 exons.